Molecule: long non-coding RNA, 968 nt
Organism: Theobroma cacao (cacao)
Lineage: Eukaryota; Viridiplantae; Streptophyta; Magnoliopsida; Malvales; Malvaceae
Source: RefSeq, a predicted model, not a curated record
AAAGUCAAAUAAAUAUUUUUUUUAGUCAUGAAUGAUGGUAGGGGCCGGCAAGUAAGGUGUAAAAGAGAGAAAGAAGAAAAAAAUGAGAGGAAGACAUUGGCAAUGAGUUGUCACGUCCGCCCCCCUUCACGUGAAACCGUUGAAAUUCAUUCUCUUUUUCCUUCCUGCCAUCAGCUUUCAUGGAGAAAUAAAGAGAGAAGGAAGGCCGGCCAAAACUGAAAAGAAAAGAAAGAAGAAGGGAGAAAGAAAGGAAGGCAAAAGAGAGAAAGAGAGGGCUGGAAGAGAGAGCUGAAAAAUGGCAGCUGCUGCCGUUUAGAGGAGUAAAGAGAGAGGCUUUGUGCUGCAAAUUUUGAGAGGGAAAAAGAAAGAGUUUUGCUGCCAAUUUUGAGAGGAAAAAGGGAGCUGGUUUGCUGCCAUUUUAAGGAGGAAAAGGGAGCUGAAUUGCUGCGAUUUUAAGGAGGAAGAAGGGGCCGAAUUGCUGCCGGUUUUGAGGAAGAAAUGAGGGAAUUGUUGCCGGUUUUGAGAGGAAGAAAUGGAGGAAAUUGCUGCAGGUUUUGAGAGGAAGAAAGGAGGGAAUUUCUGCCGGCAUAAAAGAGAAGAAAGGAGAAAGAAAGAAAGGUCGAAGAAAAUAACGAGCUAUUGGUAAGAAAGAAUAGUUAGAUACGUCUUUCAACUGAUAGCGACGUAAUAUCUUGCUAUUGUAAGGGAUUAGCCUAGCGUGUAAUCAUCAGCGCGUACGGUCCACCUCAAAUAGGUAAAGGCAUCUCAUAGCCCUCCACUCUGAGUCACUCCGCUACCUAGGAUUGUGUCAUAAAGAAAUUGUUAGAUGUUGUAAAGUGUUUUUAACUCAUGGACAUGUAUUGUGCAAAGACUUUGUGAUGAUAUUUAAUUGUUAUUAUUUAGAAUGGAGUAAACAGUAGUACAUUUAUUAUUAUUCGCUUACGUACGUGAAUGUAUAUUUAAUGAAU